AGGGAUGUAGCUCGGUGGUAGAGUGCUUGCCUAGCAUGCAUAGGGCCCUGGCUUUAAUCCCCAGCAUCACAA
This 72-nucleotide transfer RNA is filed under the name Fukomys damarensis (Damara mole-rat). It matches the Rfam family "tRNA". Rfam says of the family: Transfer RNA (tRNA) molecules are approximately 80 nucleotides in length. Their secondary structure includes four short double-helical elements and three loops (D, anti-codon, and T loops). The record is from Rfam by way of RNAcentral. Lineage: Eukaryota; Metazoa; Chordata; Mammalia; Rodentia; Bathyergidae.